GAGUGGCGAACUGGUGAGUAACACGUGGGAAACCUGCCCAGAAGCGGGGGAUAACACCUGGAAACAGAUGCUAAUACCGCAUAACAACUUGGACCGCAUGGUCCGAGUUUGAAAGAUGGCUUCGGCUAUCACUUUUGGAUGGUCCCGCGGCGUAUUAGCUAGAUGGUGGGGUAACGGCUCACCAUGGCAAUGAUACGUAGCCGACCUGAGAGGGUAAUCGGCCACAUUGGGACUGAGACACGGCCCAAACUCCUACGGGAGGCAGCAGUAGGGAAUCUUCCACAAUGGACGAAAGUCUGAUGGAGCAACGCCGCGUGAGUGAAGAAGGGUUUCGGCUCGUAAAACUCUGUUGUUAAAGAAGAACAUAUCUGAGAGUAACUGUUCAGGUAUUGACGGUAUUUAACCAGAAAGCCACGGCUAACUACGUGCCAGCAGCCGCGGUAAUACGUAGGUGGCAAGCGUUGUCCGGAUUUAUUGGGCGUAAAGCGAGCGCAGGCGGUUUUUUAAGUCUGAUGUGAAAGCCUUCGGCUCAACCGAAGAAGUGCAUCGGAAACUGGGAAACUUGAGUGCAGAAGAGGACAGUGGAACUCCAUGUGUAGCGGUGAAAUGCGUAGAUAUAUGGAAGAACACCAGUGGCGAAGGCGGCUGUCUGGUCUGUAACUGACGCUGAGGCUCGAAAGUAUGGGUAGCAAACAGGAUUAGAUACCCUGGUAGUCCAUACCGUAAACGAUGAAUGCUAAGUGUUGGAGGGUUUCCGCCCUUCAGUGCUGCAGCUAACGCAUUAAGCAUUCCGCCUGGGGAGUACGGCCGCAAGGCUGAAACUCAAAGGAAUUGACGGGGGCCCGCACAAGCGGUGGAGCAUGUGGUUUAAUUCGAAGCUACGCGAAGAACCUUACCAGGUCUUGACAUACUAUGCAAAUCUAAGAGAUUAGACGUUCCCUUCGGGGACAUGGAUACAGGUGGUGCAUGGUUGUCGUCAGCUCGUGUCGUGAGAUGUUGGGUUAAGUCCCGCAACGAGCGCAACCCUUAUUAUCAGUUGCCAGCAUUAAGUUGGGCACUCUGGUGAGACUGCCGGUGACAAACCGGAGGAAGGUGGGGAUGACGUCAAAUCAUCAUGCCCCUUAUGACCUGGGCUACACACGUGCUACAAUGGAUGGUACAACGAGUUGCGAACUCGCGAGAGUAAGCUAAUCUCUUAAAGCCAUUCUCAGUUCGGAUUGUAGGCUGCAACUCGCCUACAUGAAGUCGGAAUCGCUAGUAAUCGCGGAUCAGCAUGCCGCGGUGAAUACGUUCCCGGGCCUUGUACACACCGCCCGUCACACCAUGAGAGUUUGUAACACCCAAAGUCGGUGGGGUAACC
This 1360-nucleotide ribosomal RNA is filed under the name Lactiplantibacillus plantarum. RNAcentral describes it as "Lactobacillus plantarum 16S ribosomal RNA". It matches the Rfam family "Bacterial small subunit ribosomal RNA", at positions 93 to 1440 of the family's 1533-position model. RNAcentral also lists the same sequence under 1 other name. The record is from RNAcentral. Lineage: Bacteria; Bacillati; Bacillota; Bacilli; Lactobacillales; Lactobacillaceae.